GUGAGACACUCACAGAAAAGGGCUGGGAGAAGUGCCAAAACCAGAUCUGAAGUUCCUUGUAUGAGCAUCUUGUAUGGGCUGGUGCCUGAUUAAGCUGCAUAGAACUAGGUAUUCGGAGCACCAUUCAGGCUGAUGCUCAUGCUGCUACUGAACUGCCCCAGACACUGGUGUCAUCUCCAUUACCUGAAGAGGACAAUGAAAUAUCUCCUUUACCUUUAUCCUGCUUCUGUGUAGCAGAGUCUCAAAUGAAUACAGACUUCAGGGUCGUGGCUCUUUGAGAAUGUCACACAGCACUUUACGCCCACAGCAUACAAUGCUUCCAGAAAGUCUAGGUCAAGGCAGCCGGACAGUACCAGGAGCCUCAGGCCCUGUCGCUGAAGCUGCCCCAUCGUGCCACACUUCACAACUUCCAAGGUAGAGUUCUCUCUGAAAACUCACAAUCUUGCCAUCUGUCUCCGUUCUCAUAUCUCAAUCUAUUCAGCUUAUCAGUCUCCAUGUGCCACUUUCCCAUGAGGCAUUUCAACAUCCAUGUAAAUCAGAAGUGAUGCAUAAACUAGGUGUCAGGAGCAUAGGGGAGCACAAGGCAUUAUCUAUUUCUGUGAGCCAUGCUUAACAUACAGCUACUCAGUACCAAAGAACUCAGUCGCUACAAUAUAGAGAUAAUUACAAACAAAUGAGUGACAUCAACGAGAUCUAAGUUGUCAUAAAUACAAUUUCAUAUUUUUUUAUGAAUGAAAAAAUAUUUAUCUUUUUUCAAAAAUUCACUUGGAAAUUAUUUUCAUGAUACAGUACCAUGAUCAUGAUUUUAUCAUACUCUCCAACAACAUCAAUAAGAAAAACCAGCUCAGGGCAGGCCCUGUGGCAUAGUGGUUAAGUCCAGCACACUCUGCUUUGGCAGCCCAGGUUCACAAUUUUGGAUCCUGGGCAUGGACUGACACCACUCGUCAAGCCACACUUUGGUGGUGAUCCACAUACAAAAUAGAUGAAGAUUAGCAAGGUGUUAGCUCAGAGUAAAUUUUCCUCAACGAAAAAAAGAAAAGAAAGCUCUCAAGCUCUGAAGCUUUUCCUAUACUCUGCUCUUCUCCCCCAAGGCCCUAACAUUCCACACACAUUCCAUGGUUGCCAGGAUGCCCUGCUUUAUUCAGCAUUACAUCACCAGAUGCUAGGAACAUAUCUGGAGUAGAGUGGACUUUUGUGUUCAAUCGCGCAAUUGUGAUGAUACAAACGUAGCCUCCUUUAUGUUAAGGAUGGCGAUACUAGAUGGUCGUCUGAGGCGAUUGAGGCCUGCUCAUCACACUUGAGUGAGCUCGAAAGCUGACCCUUCAGUCCUGGUCAAGCCAGAUGAGAUGACUGCAGAGCUGGGAGACAGCUUGACUGCCGAGACCCUGGGCCAGAAUCGCUCAGCUAGGUGGCUCUAGGAUACGGGAACUUCAGAACCUGCACGAGAUAAGAAGUAUAUUAACCUGCUAAAUUUUGAUGAAUUUGUUCACAGCAAUAAAUAACAUACAGCUAGAGACUGAACGAGAACUAUUUUCUUGGCCAUACUAGUUAAGAAUAAGUAAAAAAGAACUUGAAGACUGAUGGUAGAAUUCACUUUGUGGCAUUUGAAAUUCAUGGUGUAUGGGUAUUGGUAACAAGUGCUUAUUUCAGACUUUAGGUUUGAUCAUUGUCAAUGUGUUGUUUUGCCUUUUAUGCAACAAAGCCUCAAGUUAACAUGGCCUUAUCUGUCUGCUUUCCAUCAAAUUAUAGUUGCCUAUCUAUCUAUCCAUCUGCCCAUCUAUCCACUCAUCUACCCAUCCAGCCAUUCUCUCGUUGAUCUAUUUUUCUCUCUACAGAUUUGGACCAAGCAAACCCCAUCUGAACAUUAACAGUCAAGAUUAUUGGGUCUAGAGAGGGCAAAAUCUUCUUUCCUGACUUAUUCUAUCUUCAAGAGCUAAAUUUAUUUUUUAAUGUGCUAUUAAUUAUAUCAUGAUACUUCAUGGUGUUAAGAGGUAAAAUCAUAAUAUAAAAUCUCAGGCAAAUAAAAUGAAAAAAAAUAGUUGAAGGCAGAAAAAAACUAAGUAAAUAAUAAAAACAUGCCUAAUACAGUUUAGUCAAUCUCUAUUGAGACAGGUAUACUGUGUGACAUUUUGCUAAACAGGUGGAUUUACUUUAACCAAAUCAUAUUUUAUUAGAACUUCCCCUGUUUAGACAAUGUAAAACGAAAGUUUUAGAUUUACUGUUAAAAGUGCAGACAACCGAAUCCUAAAAUUAAAAAAUUCUUUUUACUACUAACAUAGUAACUCUUUCAGUUAUGUAUUGCUGCACAGCAAACCAACCCAAAACUUAAUUCCUUAAAACAACAACAAUGUGG
Long non-coding RNA from Equus caballus (horse), 2353 nucleotides. NCBI's taxonomy places the organism in Eukaryota, Metazoa, Chordata, Mammalia, Perissodactyla, Equidae. The record is from Ensembl.